RNAcentral lists this ribosomal RNA (568 nucleotides) under Pristimantis cosnipatae. RNAcentral describes it as "partial large subunit ribosomal RNA". It matches the Rfam family "Bacterial large subunit ribosomal RNA", at positions 1829 to 2604 of the family's 2925-position model. The record is from RNAcentral. Lineage: Eukaryota; Metazoa; Chordata; Amphibia; Anura; Strabomantidae.
UCGCCUCUUGAAUUUAUUGGAGGUCCAGCCUGCCCAGUGACUCUUGUUCAACGGCCGCGGUAUCCUAACCGUGCGAAGGUAGCGUAAUCACUUGUUUUCUAAAUAAAGACCAGUAUGAAAGGCAUCACGAGGGUCUAACUGUCUCCUCUCUCUAAUCAGUGAACCUAAUCUCCCCGUGAAAAAGCGGGAAUUUUCUUAUAAGACGAGAAGACCCUAUGGAGCUUAAAACAUCUUUACACGUGCCCCACCAUCUUAUACUCUGGUACCCCCACACACCGCACGAUGAUUUUAUGUUUUUGGUUGGGGUGACCGCGGAGAAAACCCAAUCCUCCGUAUUGAAAGGAAUUGUUUCCUUAACAGAAAGCCACAACUUUAUGUAUUAAUAUAUUAACACCAUUGACCCAAUAAAUUGAUUAAUGAACCAAGUUACCCUAGGGAUAACAGCGCAAUCCACUUCCAGAGCCCCUAUCGACAAGUGGGCUUACGACCUCGAUGUUGGAUCAGGGUAUCCUAGUGGUGCAGCCGCUACUAAAGGUUCGUUUGUUCAACGAUUAAAACCCCACGUGAU